GACGAACGCUGGCGGCGUGCUUAACACAUGCAAGUCGAACGGGCCUGUCUUCUUUUUUGGGGGUGGGUUGAGUGGCGAACGGGUGAGUAUCACGUGAGUAACCUGCCCUUCGGUCCUGGAUAACCGCUUGAAAGGGCGGCUAAUACGGGGUGGUCCGGUUGGUCCGCAUGGGCUGGUCGGGAUAGAUUCACUGUUUUUGGUGUUUCGGCGGGGGAUGGGCUCGCGGCCUAUCAGCUUGUUGGUGGGGUGAUGGCCUACCAAGGCGGUGACGGGUAGCCGGCCUGAGGGGGUGGGCGGCCACACUGGGACUGAGAUACGGCCCAGACUCCUGCGGGAGGCAGCAGUGGGGGGUAGUGCACAAUGGGCGGAAGCCUGAUGCAGCGACGUCGCGUGAGGGAGGGAGGCCUUCGGGUUGUGAACCUCUGUUUCCGGUGGUGAAGGCCCUGUCCGUGUGGUGGGGUUGACGGUAGCCGGGGAUGAAGCGCCGGCUAACUACGUG
RNAcentral lists this ribosomal RNA (499 nucleotides) under uncultured bacterium. RNAcentral's name for it is "partial 16S ribosomal RNA". It matches the Rfam family "Bacterial small subunit ribosomal RNA", at positions 28 to 507 of the family's 1533-position model. The record is from RNAcentral.